This 524-nucleotide long non-coding RNA is filed under the name Homo sapiens (human). Its description in RNAcentral is "HSALNT0073488". The record is from RNAcentral. Lineage: Eukaryota; Metazoa; Chordata; Mammalia; Primates; Hominidae.
CUCUUCUCAGUUGACUGGGAUGACUAGAGGCUGGUAAUGACAAGGGGCUGAAGUUUUCACUACCAUGAGUUGUCACAUCUAAUGGACUUGACAGCCGGAGUGUUUUUAAACACUAAAGUCUCUCUAGCAGUCUGACACCUUCAAUAAGAGACAGUCACAUCUAUUCUUUCUGAAGACAACUACCUGGAGGAUUCAUCUACGUGACAAGAACCUUGGCUUCCACAACAACCCCCUUACCUUAUCUCAAGCUGAUUUCAACUCUUCAGGCAGAGCUUAACCCUUUCAACCAAUUGCCAAUCAGGAAAUCUUUGAAUCCACCCAUGACUUGUAAGUUCCCCCACUUGCAGUUGCCCAACCUUUCUGCACUGAACCAAUGCAUAUCUCACAUAUUGAUAUGUCUUAUGUCUCCCUAAAACACAUAAAACCAAGCUGUAACCCAACUACCUUGGGCAUGUGUGCUCAAGGCUGUGGUCAUGGAUCAUGAUCCUUAAUCUUUGCAAAAUAAACUUUUAAAUUCAUUGAGA